RNAcentral lists this long non-coding RNA (3570 nucleotides) under Brassica napus (rape). Its description in RNAcentral is "long non-coding RNA (BNAP_LNC022866)". Lineage: Eukaryota; Viridiplantae; Streptophyta; Magnoliopsida; Brassicales; Brassicaceae. The record is from RNAcentral.
GGAGUGUUAUAGAAAGGCUUCAGAGGAGUCUAAGAUACUAUGAAGCUGGUGCAAAGAUAGGGUCAAGUCCAGGAGGGACUUAGACACCAUUUGGAGAUAGUUGGGUGAUGGUGCAAAAAUAGGGCGAGGUACGGACAGGUGGUCCGUACCAUCCUGUAGCAGCUUGUGGACGUUUGUGGAUAAGGCCAGGCUGUCAUGAGCUGAAGUGAGCUGUAAAGUUAAAGGAGCAUGGACCAUGUAUCUGGUCUGAUACAUGUGAAGGUUCAUAGGAGCCUAUAAGCAGCCAAUCAGAAGCCAGCCCUUGCUUUGACCAGAUUUGAAUUAACCAAUCAGACACCAUCAUCUAUCAUCCAAUCACAAGACAUCACACAGAUUGCAAACUCACUCUCCAUCCUAGCCAUCCAUUCAUCUCAAGUUAUUUCUAUCCAUUAGAUUAAGGGUUUAUGUAAUUCCAAAGUGUAAAGCCUAUAUAAAGGCUAUGUAGUGGCAAUUUGUAACCAUAAGGGAGUAAGGGGGAGUUCCCCUCUCCACUUCAUGAAUGAUAAACUUGUUCUUGAAUCUGAAACCCUAAUCUCUAAUCUCUUAUUCUCCUAAUCUCUCAGUAUCUUAAUCUUUGUUCCUAAGUCUCUUAUUCUCCCAUAAACACUCUCAUCAAUCUCUUUUUCUAAAUCACCUAGAGCAAGCUCUCAUCUUUCUCCAUUGGAGUUUUACACACACACAUACAACCAGAGAAGAGAACUCUACAAAUCUCAUAUGGUAUCAGAGCCAGGUUCAUCUGAACUUUGUGUUGCUUCCGCCUAAGCUCACAGCUCCCUCCCAUGCCAUUUCAAGCUGAUAAGAAGCUUCAUGUUCAGUCCGGCUGUUCUACAUCUUCAAGAAGAAGAAGUUCAAUCCUAGACAUCCAGAAGCUCUUCUCAGUCCAGCCUUACUCUCUCAUGAACGCCCUUGAAGGAAGAAGGUCCCUGGAAGAAAAGGUUAUGGAGUGGCCUUACUAACCUCUCCAUGAAAACCAGUUCCAAGCGCCCCUUUCUCACUGUCCUAGAAGAAAGGUGAUAGCUUUCAACAUGGAUCUGGUGUGGCGAGUUCAAACCAUGAAGAAAGGUGGUGUCUAUGACAUGGUGAGUUGAAGAGGAUGGUUCAUGGAAGAAAGUCUUGUGGCUGUCUUACAUUGAAGCAUUAGAUUCAUGUCUAAAUUGCUGAGUAAAGAAGCUUAAAAAUGCCUAAGUAGCUUGCAUAAAUCUGGAAAAGAAAGUGCUUGUGCUUAGAGAGGUUGUUUGCAAAGAUAGAACUUGAAAAUGACUUGUUUUAAUCUGUUGCAAUGCUUGUGAGAUUGAGAAUCAAACUUGAUGAUUAAUCAAGGAUUGAUCCCAAUACUCUUGUGUCUUAUCUUUGCUGGAGUUUGAGUGGUGUUUCAGGUUCACAAGAAGUGUUCUUUGCUCACCACCUAUCCAAGACAAGAGGAAGACUUGAUCCAUUGUGUGGAGCAAUGGGAAGAUACUUGUGUGUAGAAGCCGGUUUAAGAAGCGCAGGCCACGAGGUUGUUGAGCUCCUGGUUCAAGACACACAAGAAGAAUACUUGAUCCAUUGUGUGGAGCAACGGGAAGGUGCUUGUGUGUAGAAGCCAGUUUAAGAAGCGCAGGCCACGAGGUUGUUGAGCUCCUGGUUCAAGACACACAAGAAGAAGAAGGUCAUCACCUAAGUCAUGAGGAAGGACGGUGAUCUGAGGGUACUUGAAGCUGAAGGCAAAAGGGUGGAUCAGUGAUUUAAGCGCAACUGUUAGGGUGGUGUGCUCCUGGUCUUGAAGUUCAUUGAGGCUCAUUUCAAGCUUGAACCUAUACUCAAUUCAAGCUUGCGGUGGGGAUUCAAAUGAGCAACCUGAAGAGCCAAAGUUCAAGACUUGUUUCCUCCUUAUCAUUACAAGAGAAUAAUAAGAUGAAGCCUAUUGCCAACAUUCUGUGGAGAAGUCCACAGUCUGCUCCAAAGAGGGUAGAGAGGAUGUUGUGACCAUGGAGAGAUAAAGCCUAUUGCCAACAUUCUGUGGAGAAGUCCACAGCCUGCUCCAAAGAGGGUAGAGAGGAUGUUGUGACAAUGGAGAGAUGAAUCUUAUUACCAACAUUCUGUAGAGAAGUCCACACACUGCUCCAAAGAGGGUAGAGAGGAUGUUGUGACAAUGGAGAGAUGAAGCCUAUUGCCAACAUUCUGUGGAGAAGUCUGCAGCCUGCUCCAAAGAGGGUAGAGAGGAUGUUGUGACAAUGGAGAGGUGACUUGCGGUUCUGUCCAUGGUGGUUUAGUCACCAUAGCCUACACAUCAGAUGAGUGUAGAGAAGACAGUAGACAUGCAAGGAAGAGCAUCACCAGGAGGGUGAUGCAAUUAAGACCAAGACCAUUGCAAUCUGAUCAUGGAGAAGUGGGGCUGUAAGCAUCAAGUCGGAAGAAGAUGGAGGUGUUCCCACAAGAAUGAUCAUAGAGCUUAGUAUCCGCUCACCUUCAAGCUUGGACCUUCCCUAUACUCGGUCUCAAGCUUGAGGGGGAGUGUUGGUGAGCUUGCAUGAUACAAGGAGCUGUUAAGCUCAGCAAGUAAGGGAUUCAAGUGACGAGCCAAUCCAGUCACUCCUCACCAAAACAAAAGGGAAGUUUCCCUAAACUCAAUUCAAUUCAUCAUUUUCAAGUAUUUAGUAAUCUAUUAGGAAUACUAGUGUUACUAGACAGCAACAUAUCUAGUAAUCUAUCAGGAAUACUAGUUUUACUAAAGACGGUCUGUCGAGAAAAAAAAAAAACUAAAGACGGUCUAUAAGCAUCAUUUGAAUUUGAAUUGAUUGAGUUAUGUUACUUGAUAAGUACUAAUACACUUGUGGAAGAAUGUAUCAGGUAGCUUACUUGGAGAUUCAAUGGAGAGGAUCAGGUCGCUCCUAGCCUUUCAAGAUGGCAUGAAGUCCGGUGAAAGGGGGAGACACUAAACCGGUUCUAUAAAAGAGUCCAAGAAGGUGUGGUAAAGUGUGCGCAAAACUUGAAGUGUUGCUGCACCUGUUUAGGCCGUGAUCUAGAGCUUCUUGUGUCCAACCACACUGGUUCUAGGGCACAAGAGCUCACUGGCCAAUCCUUAGGCCUUGUUGGCUCUACUCUUUUUCCCUCAUCAAGGUUUUGUCCCAAAGGGUUUUCCUUGGUGAGGUUUUUAAUGAGGGAGUUCUUCAAGGUUCCAAGCUUGACUUAGGAUCGCCUAGAGUCAAGCUUGAGGGGGAGUGUUAACUUGAAGAAAGAAAUGGAUCCAAAGGAGGAGUUGAGUUGAGUUUGAGUCUUGUGCAAGAAUAGGGCAAGUCUUCCAGAGAUUGUCUGAUAGGCUUCAGGAGUGUUAUAGAAGGGCUUCAGAGGAGUCUAAGAUACUAUGAAGCUGGUGCAAAGAUAGGGUCAAGUCCAGAAGGGACUUAGACACCAUUUGGAAUUGUUGGGUGAUGGUGCGAAAAUAGGGCGAGGUACGGACAGGUGGUCCGUACCAUCGACCGUACUUGUUCCGGAUCAACCCGAAGUGAAGAACGGCAAAGAUAGGGUGCUGGUUCAGCAAGAAGAGAGGUG